Molecule: ribosomal RNA, 497 nt
Filed under: uncultured bacterium
Lineage: Bacteria
Description: partial 16S ribosomal RNA
Rfam family: Bacterial small subunit ribosomal RNA
Source: RNAcentral
GAUGAACGCUGGCGGCGUGCCUAAUACAUGUAAGUCGAGCGAACGGACGAGAAGCUUGCUUCUCUGAUGUUAGCGGCGGACGGGUGAGUAACACGUGGAUAACCUACCUAUAAGACUGGGAUAACUUCGGGAAACCGGAGCUAAUACCGGAUGAUAUUUUGAACCGCAUGGUUCAAAAGUGAAAGACGGUCUUGCUGUCACUUAUAGAUGGAUCCGCGCUGCAUUAGCUAGUUGGUAAGGUAACGGCUUACCAAGGCAACGAUGCAUAGCCGACCUGAGAGGGUGAUCGGCCACACUGGAACUGAGACACGGUCCGGACUCCUACGGGAGGCAGCAGUAGGGAAUCUUCCGCAAUGGGCGAAAGCCUGACGGAGCAACGCCGCGUGAGUGAUGAAGGUCUUCGGAUCGUAAAACUCUGUUAUUAGGGAAGAACAUAUGUGUAAGUAACUGUGCACAUCUUGACGGUACCUAAUCAGAAAGCCACGGCUAACUACGUG